GGGGCUGCAGCUCAGUGGCAGAGCUUCUGCUCUGCAUGCAGAAGGUCCCAGGUUUAAUCCUGGGCAUCUCCA
RNAcentral lists this transfer RNA (72 nucleotides) under Podarcis lilfordi (Lilford's wall lizard). It matches the Rfam family "tRNA". From Rfam's summary of the family: Transfer RNA (tRNA) molecules are approximately 80 nucleotides in length. Their secondary structure includes four short double-helical elements and three loops (D, anti-codon, and T loops). Lineage: Eukaryota; Metazoa; Chordata; Lepidosauria; Squamata; Lacertidae. The record is from Rfam by way of RNAcentral.